Long non-coding RNA from Neofelis nebulosa (Clouded leopard), 713 nucleotides. RefSeq lists it as uncharacterized. Lineage: Eukaryota; Metazoa; Chordata; Mammalia; Carnivora; Felidae. The record is from RefSeq and is a predicted model, not a curated record. The transcript has 4 exons.
CAGAUCCCUCACUUGGAGAGAAACUGCCUUCUGGCUUGCAAGCAGCUUCCUGAAGAGACCCAUGUGGCAAGGAACUGGAGCCCCUUUCCAGCAGGCUCUCUGGUUUCCCUGAAUGGAACCAUGGCUUGCAAGCAACGGCCCACAUCUGACGUGUGGUGAAUUCCUGACAGAGACAGCGGUAGUAACGAGUGCUAAGUCCUUCCACAUUGACUUCUGCAAAGAGCCUCACUAGUCGGGUCUUCUAAGAAAGGGACAAAUCUUGGGCCCAACAAAGGAGAAAUAGAAAGAAGGAAGUCUGUGAUAUUGCGAAGAACAGGACGUGGAAAUUUUUCAGUGGUGCAGUCUAGCCCAAGGAGCAUUAAGCUGGCUCAUCAUAUCAGGGAUUUUCCUCAAUGACAUAAAAAUUGCACGAGUGUGCAAAUGACUGUCUGAAGAUGUUCUUGGCAGUGUUGUUUAUGAUGAGAGAUAAGAAGCAACCUCAAAUGGCUACGAGUGAGGUAAGGAUUUGUAUCAAUUAUAACAUGUAUGUAAAUCAGAUACCUGUGUUAAAAUGAUAGAGAUCUAUAUUUAUUGCAGUAGAAGAGUUUCUGCUAAAUUGUUGGCUGAAAAACCAGCAAAACAACAAUAUCACCCUAGGUAACGGAAAAGUGUAAGUGAUAAGAGGCCAUUUAUGUAGUGUUUGGGGCAUUUCUUUAAUGUUUCAUAGCACUAAG